ACGACCGUCUGCUAGGCGUCGAGCGUCGAGGUCCUCGGCCUACCAAGCCGAGGGUCCCAGGUUCGAGUCCUGGCGGGCGCGCCA
This 84-nucleotide transfer RNA is filed under the name Acidobacteriota bacterium. RNAcentral's name for it is "Acidobacteria bacterium tRNA-Gly". The record is from RNAcentral. Lineage: Bacteria; Pseudomonadati; Acidobacteriota.